CGACCCUCCUGGCUGCCCUAGCUGAGACGAGAGAACUGUGUGAAUCUGCGUGCCCGAAGUCCUUGUGUAGUGAAAUUUGAAAGGCUCGUCUUGCCGGCGACGCACAAGGAAAGUUGUUUUUUUAUGUGACAGAGGUUUCUAGAGGCGGUCGUGUUUUGUGAAAUGGAGACCUCACAGCUGCAUUAUUGCUGUCGUGAACCAAUUUCGAUUGACCUAGUGAGAGUCAGUAAACAUCAACAGAACACUGAGUUUGGGAAGAUAUGGUGUCUCGCAAAUGUUCUGAUGAGGGUUAAAGAGUGCUGCACGCUACUGUCCGUCUUUAACGUAUUGGACUUUACUGAGUGGCGAAACUACCCCGACGUGAAGGAGUGUCUACAAAAUUGACAGGGCUUACAAAUGACAGUGUUUAUCUUCCUACUUUAUUGUUUCAAAACGUCCAUGGAGACGAUGUGGUAGUUCUUUGGGGCAAGUGACUGUGAAAGGUUGAGUCUUAACUUCUUUAUGAUCUUUUUUUUUAUAUCUGUUUUGCAAAGUGAAUGCUAAUACAUGCUUUUGUGUUGUUUAUUUUUUUCAGUAGCUGUGCCAUGUUGUGAAGAUGAACCAGUUCUCAACUCUCAGUGGUGUGAGAAACUUUCUUUUAUUCCACUUACCUGGAUUGAGGACAAUCUCGGAGAGUAUCUUUUUAAUGUGACGAAGGAGUGGCAGACUGAAAGGCGUCAGCUUUUGUCUUUCAUAGUCUUCACAACUGUGACUCGCUGUCUGUUUGUGGUUUUUAAUUACCGCCACUUGAUGUGAGAUGUUUCUUCAGGGGCAAAGAUAAUCGCAGAGGUAAGUUAUUAUCCCCUCCCCCGUUUCUUCUCUUUAUUUUAGCCAUGACAUUGGCUUGGGAGAGCAUAUGCACUUCUUUCUUUCCAAAGUUUAAAUUGUAAAGUUACCAUCAAAGCAAUGUGAAGGGGAGUGGUAUAACAUUUGCGUGUAGAGUUUUGAUUGUUCUACAGUAAAUGUAUGCAAUAAGGUUGAUA
This is a long non-coding RNA of Frankliniella occidentalis (western flower thrips), 1022 nucleotides long. RefSeq lists it as uncharacterized. The record is from RefSeq and is a predicted model, not a curated record. The transcript has 5 exons. NCBI's taxonomy places the organism in Eukaryota, Metazoa, Arthropoda, Insecta, Thysanoptera, Thripidae.